AUGCACACUCUAUUACUAUUUACUCUACACGACAUUUUCUUUUAUCAGAAUAGAAACUUCGUAUAUAAUCCCAGUUCUAUAAUUCAUCAUCGUAAAAUGUUAUAAUACUUGAAAAAACUCUUCUCUAUUGUUCUCUAAUAUGAAUUCACUUACUGUGGGUGAAUUUACUUCCGGAAGUGACUUUUGUCAGACCCCAGCAGUCCAACAUUGCAAAUGUUAUAAGCUCUCACUGACAAUGCAGAUCUGUCCUGGCUGACUCACUGAGUCGUUCUGACCCCCUCUGCAGGACACCAUUCAUAGAGAAUCACCUCUGGCAACCAGAACAACAGGCCACUUUAAAUGUGAAAAGCUCUCCCUGUUUGAGUCAGAUGGUUCUACCCUGAGGUUACUAGUAAGUAUCUUCUUCAGUGUUGCCUGUUAACAGCGAACAUCUUUCAUCGUUACAGUGUUUACUACACCAGCACAUGGCCAACAGGAAUCACAACACUUCCUAUUUCAGUGACAGAGGACAGCAGAUUCCAGUCGACGUAUUUUCUCUAGAGCCUUGGCUGUUUUCAUCCUAAUUAGGAGUGCCAUGGUGUGAUUGAGUGGGACAGAAUGCCUGCUUCAAUGGCUGUUACUCCGAAUGAUGUGGCUGUUAACGUCCUUCUGAGUUACGCCACUGCUAUCCGCAGGCUUGCACAACAAGCUCUCCCCGCCCCUCUUGAGGUGACCUCUUACACAUCUAGUAUGAACACAGCUGUCUGAAAUUAAGAACCGGGAUAAUAUGUGCUCUGUGUGUGUGUGUGUGUGUGUGUGUGUGUGUGUGUGUGUGUGUGUGUGUGUGUGUGUGUGUGUGUGUGUGUGAAAAAGGUGGCUUUGUCUACAUAAUUUUGUGCAUUUUAAGUUACCGUGCCUGCUUUCACAAGUGCUGCAAUGUUCUUGUGUCCUGCAAGGAAGGUGGGAGAGAACAAGUCUCUCUUCCUGAUCUAGCCACUCAAAGCCCACCUUCUGCCCUCCCUCCCUUUUUUUUGUUGCUGUUAGCCCCUUCUCGGGAAUGUUCCUCUCCAGGCCAGGGAGAAGUCACUACAAUGGAAUGCAGAGCAUGGCCUCUCCAAAAAGCACUGUUGACUUUAAAAGGCCAGAAUAUGAAAGCAAACACUCCCGUUCCAAUUCCACUCGAGUUUGUUCCAUGUGUUCUAAGAACCGUUCUUCACUUUUGGGCUUCAGAUUGAGAAAUGUGGUCUAAACACCAGAUAAAUCUCCUUUAUUAGAAAAAAACAGCUUCACUAUCAACAAUUUCACCAUCACUCUGGUACAGAUUGUCCAUGUGUAUUUGACAGGUUCACGCUGCUGGAAUAGGAAAAGAGAGAAAGUCAGGAAUGUGCUACUCUUUUCACAGAUUCUUCUUCGUCUGUUUCAUCUCGCUUAACCUACUGGAACGGUCCAGGCCGGGGGUGAGAGCAGUGCACACAGCAGUGGAAGAAAUCCCCCAGCACUUUUUGGAGGCAAUAGCUGGGUGCUGUUUGACCCUGAUAUGGCGGGCUUUUCAUUCUUGGAGGGCAAAAAGAAGGGGGGUUGGUGGGUUGUUCUGGCCUGUGACAUUGUUAAAUGACUGCAGUGGAUGGGAAUGGGGAAGAGGAAGGGGGGGGCAUGCGUCAGGUCGUGGGGGAAGGGAGGCUGUGGGAGGUGGCACUGACAUCGAUAGCGAGGAGAAAAAGAUGGGGAAAAAAAGGCAAAGAAUCUCAGCACCUGUUUCCAGGGCAACAGGGAGCUGCUGAACAUAAGUCUGACUUACCCCCUCCUCCUCCUCCUCCUCCUGCCUUUGCUGCACUGGCCUCACACAGAGAUGCAGGCACUUCAAGUGACUGAUCUUACACACAAAAGCAUAAAGCAAUGAUAAUGAUUUCAAUGUUUUCUUUCUUUUUUUUUAAAAAUUCUGUAGAUCUCAUUUAUUCUCUCUUGUCUGGAUGACCUGUGGAAUAUUCUUCAAACUCCAUUUGUUCCCUUAGUGUAUGGCAAGGUCUAAUCUAAUUAACUAAUUGAAGGGAUGAAAAAUCGAUAUUGCUUGUGAGGUUGUAAUGCUUUGACGGGCUCUAAUUUGUCCUCUCAUUACCUGGUCAGCUGACUCCUUUUGUUCCCUGCACCUCUGACAAAACGCUCACUCCCUACAGCACUUGUCUGGUUUCAAACCUCUAGAGUCACAUUCAGUCACGCUCAUCAAGACUGCAGAUCUAUUGUUCUUUUUUCAGCAGCUUCAGUCUAGCCUCUCUCUCUUUCUCUCUCUCUCUCUCUCCUUCCCUCCCUCCCUCCUGCUGUCUCUCUCUGCUGGAUAAUUCCCAUGAUAUGUUCUUGCCAUUGGCAUGGAAUGUACCAUUCCUGAACAGGGGGAUGACAAAAGGAAACUACAACUCUCUAGUUCAUUCUAUAUAUCACCGCAGCCCUGUUCUGCCUCAUACAUGUGCCAUUACUUACAACACAAUUAUUCAAAACUGAUACACACGCUGCUCAAAACUAUUUUGUAUGAUCCAAACGACUCAUUCUUCCUGCACCUCUGCUCCUGGCUGGGAGCCUCGGUGGUACGAUCCGUUCCCUCUUGGCAUGGUAAAGUGUCUGUUUUAUUGACUUGAUGUCUUAAGGGCAGUUCUCUUCCUCUUUUUCUGCAGAUAUAGCAUUGCCCUGUGAGAUCUUAACAAGAUAGAACAAGGAAGGAAUAUCAAUUACACCCUAGCAAAUGAGUUAGGGAUUGACAAACAAUAGAACAAGCAGACAUAAUUAACUUAAAGAGGUGUGCCUGAUGUCUAACGGCUGAAAAAGUACCUUUUUUAUUUUAUCUUUUUUAAAGAUCAGCGGAAAUGAAACAUACACUGAAAAAAGUACACUGAGAAACGCACACUGAAUAACAUACACUGAGCAGUGAAUCUAAAGAAAAAAUGAGCGAGAGAUUGAAAUGAAUGAAGAAUUAUUAGAAGUAUAUAUUUUUUUAAAUCCUAAAUUAGGCAAUGUUUAGGCAAAUGGGAAAAUGAUUGACAGUCCUUCAUAUCCUACAAUACAGUAUGGGUUGUAUAAAUAUGAAGAGGCCCUCAGUUUUCAAUCAAGAUAACAAGCGGAAAAGAUCUAAGUGACUUUGAAAGAGAGUUCAUUAAUGGGGCAGUGAUAAGAGUUUUUCUGUGUUUCAGAAGGAACAGUGACUAAUGUGACAUUUAUCAUUUAAAUCGAUGGGAACGGCAUGUUUUUGGGAGGAAACUGGAGAAUCCAGAAACCUACACAGACACAGGAAACAUGCAAUACCCCAACAUAUACACAGUAACCUGAGCUCGGGAUCGAACCUUAAGGAUCUCUUAACUAGCAUGUUUACUGCACUGGUUAACACUAACAAUCCAUUUACUUCAGCAUUAAUAAACCGCAAGGAAUGUUAGCAUGCAAAGUAAAAUGAUCUGCAUUGACUACUUUAUAAAACAAAUUAAACUGCAUCAUGUUCCUUAAACACAGCUUGUAGCAGUGCUGCCUGACAUGUCCAGGGUUUCUCUGCUCCAACAGUGAACUCGGGUUAUUGACGACUUCGAAUUUCUCAUGUUCUUCCCUGGGUUUCCUCUGGGUUCCCAGCUUUCCUUUCACCUCCCAAAAACGUGUUGUUAGGUAGAUUGCAGUCUCUUGUUGUGAAUUAUUGUGCGAAUAUAUCUGUACCUUGUGCAAUGCACUAUACAGACAUAUGAGUCAAUUCUCACCUCACACCCAGUGUGACUUCCUGAACUCAGAUUUUUCUGUGGUUUUGCCAAUUAAAAUCAUCAAACACGUUCAUUUCGGGAGCUUGUUGAUGUAAUAAACAUUGAUUCAACAAAGA
Molecule: long non-coding RNA, 3823 nt
Organism: Tachysurus fulvidraco (yellow catfish)
Lineage: Eukaryota; Metazoa; Chordata; Actinopteri; Siluriformes; Bagridae
Exons: 3
Source: RefSeq, a predicted model, not a curated record